This 459-nucleotide ribosomal RNA is filed under the name uncultured bacterium. Its description in RNAcentral is "partial 16S ribosomal RNA". It matches the Rfam family "Bacterial small subunit ribosomal RNA", at positions 338 to 795 of the family's 1533-position model. The record is from RNAcentral.
CCUACGGGUGGCAGCAGUGAGGAAUAUUGGUCAAUGGCCGGAAGUCUGAACCAGCCAAGCAGCGUGCAGGAUGAAGGCGCUACGCGUCGCAGACCUCUUUUACCCGGGAACAAAACGCCGUACUCGUCCGGUCUUGCGUGUACCCUAUGAAUAAGCAUCGGCUAACUCCGUGCCAGCAGCCGCGGUAAUACGGAGGGUCCGAGCGUUAUCCGGAUUUAUUGGGUUUAAAGGGGGCGUAGGCGGACGGUGAAGUCUGCGGGAAAAGCCCGGGGCUCAACCCCGGCGAGCAGUGGAAACUGGCGGUCUUGAGAGGGCGGGAGGUAGGCGGAAUGCGUAGUGUAGCGGUGAAAUGCUUAGAUAUGGCGAAGAACCCCGAUUGCGAAGGCAGCUUACUGGAGGGGAACUGACGCUGAGGCACGAAAGCGCUGGUAUCGAACAGGAUUAGAUACCCGUGUAGUC